RNAcentral lists this long non-coding RNA (674 nucleotides) under Homo sapiens (human). Its description in RNAcentral is "non-protein coding TEX41:66". The record is from RNAcentral. Lineage: Eukaryota; Metazoa; Chordata; Mammalia; Primates; Hominidae.
CACUCAGCUUUCUGAAAUGGUGUCCCACCGCAAGGACUGGAGAAGGGUAAACCUCAGGUUCUCCUCCUGCCUUUUGCUAAGUAUAUGUCUUGAUGACAAGCCUUCUGCUGAUGAGCUGUGUUUCUGGACCGAUCAUGGUAGAAGUCAAUUAACGUGUCCCUCACUUGGGGUUUCUCAAGGACAUGCAAGGUCCUCAUGAUUGUCUCAAAACUAUAUAGAAUUGAGAAGCUGCACUGAUGAGGAAACUGAAACAGAAAAUCCAGAGUAAAUUCCACCAGGCCACACAGCAAGGUCUGAUAGAGCCAGGAGAGACUUUAUGAAAUCCAGACUCUCACACUAAUGCUCUAUCAGCUAGACCUCCAUGUGAGUCUCCCCAAUGUAGGUAGGAAGUGCUUUCCCUAAAAUGCUCAUAAAGCAAAUCAGAGCAAUGCUGCAUUCCAUGUGAUUUCUAAUUUGAAAUGCAAACAAUUGCCAAUUUGUUUGACUUGUAUUUAUAAUUAUUUCCUUGUGAAUUACUCAUCACUAAAUGCUUUAUAAAUAUUUUCUCUUUUUUUCCUCAAUGUCUAUGGAAUGAUCACAGCAUAGAAAAUGUUGGCUUUCAAGGAUUUAUUAAUAUCUCCUUUUGAAAUAACAUGUAUUUGUAAGACAGAAUAAAAUCACUUUAAAGAAACAAA